CGGCGGGCUUAACACAUGCAAGUCGAAGGAGAAGGUAAUUGCUUGCAAUUACUGGAGACUGGCGGACGGGUGAGUAACGCGUAGAUAACCUGCCUUUGCCUGGGGGAUAACACUGGGAAACUGGUGCUAAUACCGCAUAAUGCAGCGGGGCCGCAUGGCCAUAGUUGUUAAAGGUUUCGGCCGGGUAAAGAUGGGGCUGCGUGCUAUUAGUUAGUUGGUAAGGUAACGGCUUACCAAGGCGAUGAUAGUUAGGGGGUCUNNNNNNNNNNCGCAAUGGGCGAAAGCCUGACGCAGCCACGCCGCGUGCCGGAAGACGGCCCUAUGGGUUGUAAACGGCUUUUGCCAGGGAAGAACGAGGAGGUUUCGACCUCCUGUGACGGUACCUGGUGAAUAAGCACCGGCUAACUCCGUGCCAGCAGCCGCGGUAAUACGGAGGGUGCAAGCGUUGUCCGGAAUCAUUGGGUGUAAAGGGUGCGUAGGCGGACUGCUAAGUCUGGGGUGAAAUCUUGCCGCUUAACGGUAAAAUGGCCUUGGAUACUGGCAGUCUUGAGUGUAGAAGAGGCAGGUGGAAUUCGUAGUGUAGCGGUGAAAU
RNAcentral lists this ribosomal RNA (592 nucleotides) under Pseudomonadales bacterium. RNAcentral describes it as "bacterial SSU rRNA". It matches the Rfam family "Bacterial small subunit ribosomal RNA", at positions 40 to 687 of the family's 1533-position model. Lineage: Bacteria; Pseudomonadati; Pseudomonadota; Gammaproteobacteria; Pseudomonadales. The record is from RNAcentral.